Molecule: ribosomal RNA, 437 nt
Filed under: uncultured Oscillospiraceae bacterium
Lineage: Bacteria; Bacillati; Bacillota; Clostridia; Eubacteriales; Oscillospiraceae
Description: partial 16S ribosomal RNA
Rfam family: Bacterial small subunit ribosomal RNA
Source: RNAcentral
ACGGGAGGCAGCAGUGGGGAAUAUUGGGCAAUGGGCGAAAGCCUGACCCAGCGACGCCGCGUGAAGGAAGACGGUCUUCGGAUUGUAAACUUCUUUUAUAGAGGACGAAGUAAGUGACGGUACUCUAUGAAUAAGCCACGGCUAACUACGUGCCAGCAGCCGCGGUAAUACGUAGGUGGCGAGCGUUAUCCGGAUUUACUGGGUGUAAAGGGUGUGUAGGCGGGAUUGCAAGUCAGAUGUGAAAAUUAUGGGCUCAACUCAUAACCUGCAUUUGAAACUGUAGUUCUUGAGGGUCGGAGAGGUAACUGGAACUCCUGGUGUAGCGGUGAAAUGCGCAGAUAUCAGGAAGAACACCGGUGGCGAAGGCGGGUUACUGGACGAUUACUGACGCUGAGACACGAAAGUGUGGGGAGCAAACAGGAUUAGAUACCCUGGUA